This 371-nucleotide ribosomal RNA is filed under the name uncultured organism. RNAcentral's name for it is "partial 16S ribosomal RNA". It matches the Rfam family "Bacterial small subunit ribosomal RNA", at positions 527 to 896 of the family's 1533-position model. The record is from RNAcentral.
GUAGGUGGCAAGCGUUGUCCGGAAUUAUUGGGCGUAAAGCGCGCGCAGGCGGUUCUUUAAGUCGGAUGUGAAAGCCCACGGCUCAACCGUGGAGGGUCAUUGGAAACUGGAGAACUUGAGUACAGAAGAGGAAAGCGGAAUUCCACGUGUAGCGGUGAAAUGCGUAGAGAUGUGGAGGAACACCAGUGGCGAAGGCGGCUUUCUGGUCUGUAACUGACGCUGAGGCGCGAAAGCGUGGGGAGCAAACAGGAUUAGAUACCCUGGUAGUCCACGCCGUAAACGAUGAGUGCUAAGUGUUAGGGGGUUUCCGCCCCCCUUAGUGCUGCAGCUAACGCAUUAAGCACUCCGCCUGGGAUACGGCCGCAAGGCUG